GCAUUUCACGUUAAUUGUCCUGAUUGUCCUGUGGAUUAUACAACAGUAUGUUGCAGGCAAACUUUGCGGACUUGGUUUUUCAGAUUACUCCUGUUUUCAAAUAUGAAGGUUUCAAUAGUGGGUGAGUUGCAAAACACUUAAUGCCAUUAAUAUCAAUUACUAUUGAUGAUUGACUUCAUAUGUUCCCCAUCUUCAAUUUGCUGUAUUUUUUUUAAAAAAGUGCAGCCUUUUUGCCCAGAACCAAACACUUGUUAAAACCAUUCUAGACCUGGGAUCCACAGAUUUAUCCCACAUCUCAGUGCCUUUAUAGAGGAAAGGUUCCCUGACAAUGAUCUAGACCAGCAGAUCUUAAAAGUUGGGUUGGAAUACAACUCCCAAAAAUCCUCACUAUUGCCCAACCGAACUAAGGCUGCUGGGAAUUAUAGUUCAACAACUUCUGUGGAGCUUUGUUUGUGAAUCAUUACUUUGGGUUGCUAGUUUACAAACAAUUUCCUUGGGAACUGUGUUAAACUUUGGAAGAUUAUCCAUGAUUCCAACCAAGAAAUAGAAGAUAUCAUCAAGAGUCUACCAAAACAAUGCCAAAUCAAAACAACACUAACAAAAACCUACUGGCUUGAAUUAGUGAAUAUCCCUUACAAUAUAUAACCAGUAUGUAGUGGUGCCGUGAGUGUUUCUCAGCUGUACUUCUAAUUUGUGUGAAACACUGGUGAGUCUUGAUUGCCUGAAGCAUUAAUUGAUUAGAGAACUGGAGAACAGAGGUAAAUCAAUUUCUUAUAGAAUCAUUGAAUAAAAUCUGCUUGUCUCUGUAGAACCAAAGUGGCAUAACAUGAUUACUUGAGUGGGGUAGAUAUGAAGGUGAAAAUUCAGAAAUUGGGCUAGAAAAUUUAGAGAAGAGAUUGUAAGUGUCUCAACCCUGCAGACAUCUGGUAGCUACAAUCUUGCACAAAUAUAGAAUGCACAACAAUGGACAGCUAAGAGUAAAGUCCUGCUCAACAGUGCUGGCUGCUUCAAAAGGUUUUGGAGCCUUAUUCAAAUGGCAGCAUCUGUCUUAAUUUGUCUUUCUCUUCCAUGGUAUAGGUUGCUUCACCUUGCUGUGUAGCAUUAUCAGCCAAACUGCUCUUUUUUUGUGAGGUCACUGCACCCACUCACAGUACUUGUGGAGCCAUUUCAGCCCAGUUCUUGCAAAUUGAACAAUGGAUCUGGUUUUCUAGAAUUUCUUGCUAAGAUUCUUCCCACUUCCAACACAGAAAUUAAAUAAUUAAGUUAGAAGUAAUGUGCAGCUCAGAUUUCCUUUGAUUGUGAAGUAUGUUUCUGGAAUUCCAUUAUAGAUCGAGUCAUACAAGGUAUAUCUGUAGUUUGUUGUGGGGUUGAGACCUUCCCAUCCAUCUGUUUUUGCCUUCUGCUUCACAAGAGGUGAAAUAAAAAUAAAAAAUGUUGGUGGUGUUAAUGGAGCCAGAAUCUUCAUCCUUUUAAAAAGUCCCCAUGAAGUUUGGUGGGUGGGAGGAAGCUGGAGGAAAAGUUAAAUUGACUGUGCCCAAAUGUGAGAAACCUGAUCUCAACUCAAAAUAUCCCUGCAAGUUUUUUAAUUUUUUUGUCUCACAGAAAUAACCAGGGAAAAUCAUGGAAUAAGGAAUGUGAUGACAUCGCCAACUGUUAUAUAUUAUUUUUUGAAAAGGGAACAGUGUUAUGCCCCUGUGACUUUAUGAAAUUAACAGCUGUUUUCAUACUCUGUGAGGGAUUUUUGUUCUGAUCCAGUUGGUUCACAAAAAUGAUUUGCUAGUUGCCACUGCUUCCUUGGAGUACAGCUUGAAAAGGCCCCUUCUACACUGUAUCCCAGGAUCUGAUCUCAGAUUAUCUGAUUUAAACUGUAUUAUAUGAGUCUCCACAGCCAGAUAAUCUGGGAUAAUAAGGUAACCUGGGAUCAGAUCCUGGGAUAUAGGAGCAGUAUGGAAAGGGCCCAAGUUGAUAUUUUGCCUCUUUGAACCAGUACUGUAUUUUAAAAAAAUGUCUAUUUUCCCCAGAUGUUUUCACCCUUUAGGCUGGGAUGAAUUAAUUGUGCAAUUUUGUUCCUAUACUGUUUGUAAUUUGGACUUUUUCUCAGUAAUUUGGACUUCUUUGUCUUUUUUUCUACCACAAUGUAGGCUAGAUGUCAAAAGUCAGACGCCAACUGAGAGCAAAAUAUAGUUUAUUAAAGUAAUAGUCCAAAAAUAGUUCAAAGAAUUAGCAGAAACUUAAAACACUUAAACUUCAGUGUUAUUAAGUACAGUAGAGUCUCACUUAUCCAACAUAAACGGGCCGGCAGAAUGUUGGAUAAGCAAAUAUGUUGGAUAAUAAGGUGGGAUUAAGGAAAAGCCUAUUAAACAUCAAAUAGGUUAUGAUUUUACAAAUUAAGCACCAAAACAUCAUGUUAUACAACAAAUUUGACAGAAAAAGUAGUUCAAUACGCAGCAAUGCUAUGUAGUAAUUACUGUAUUUACGAAUUUAGCACCAAAAUAUCAUGCUAUAUUGAAAACAUUGACUACAAAAAUGUGUUGGAUAAUCCAGAACGUUGGAUAAGCGAGUGUUGGAUAAGUGAGACUCUACUGUAGUUAAAACAGGAGAAAUGCCAAAAACACGAACUGACAUAUAAUCUGGAUAACCAGAGAUAAAAUCUGGACUAAACAUAAAAUACUUGAACUCAGCCCAAAAACACAAAACGGGCUUGAAAUGGUGAAACAAACAAAAGCAAACAGCUAUGAAGCCCCCAAAACCUUCCCAAAAUUCAGGAGUACGAAAGUAGCUUUAAACCAAAACAAACACCCAAACCAGGCUGGAGAACUCUCCGUUGAGAGCAGCAAAGCAAGUGGAACAGAAAGACGCUGGCGAGCCCGCAGCAAACCGCUGCUAGAGCGAAGGCCAAGCCAGGAGUUAAAGGAGCAGAGCAGGAAAGCGUCGUCAAGCCGGUCCGAAGUCGGGAUAAGCAAGCAGCGUCAAACCGCUGCAGGAGCAAAAGCCAAGCCAGGAAUUGAAGGAGCAGAGCAGGAAAAUGUCGUCAAGCUGGUCCAAAGUCGGAAUAAGCAGCCAGCGUCAGGGUCACGAGCGAAGCCAGUAGUCAGCAACAGAAAGCAGCCACGGAAUUGAGAACGACGCCACAACACAUUUUGGGAGCGAAGAGCAAAGCCGAGUCGAAUUCCAGUCCAAGGUCCAAGGAGUUGUAGUCAUCAAAAGAAGGUCCACGUCACAGAAUGGCACAGAAAGCCAAAACAACGAAGGCGAACAGCAGCUAAUGCAAAAUAGUAAUAACAAUGCAGUCCAGGGAAACCCACACAAUUCCAGCCCUCCGUUGCAGAAUAACCCGGAUCAAACUUAAAUCUGUUGCAAAGUCCCAAGCCAGUCUUCAGAAUCACGUACAGGAAACCCAAUGGCGCCCAGCAAGAUCUUGCCACACGCAAAGCAUAGUGGCCAAACAUCCCCAAUUUAUUUAGGUUUCCUUGGGUCUCCAAACAGCCAAUGCCCUUGGAUCAGGCGUCCCAAACUCUUCAUCAGAGUCAAUAUCAUUCUGCCCACACCCAACUCUGUCCGCACCUGUGGAACCACCCUCAUUCCUCCAGGCAGACCAUGUGGGAUCUGCUUCUGAAGAUACCCAAGCCUCUCCAGCAUCAACAGCAUCUAUGGAUCCAGAUUCCUCCCCAAGCCCUUCCGGAGCCCGUGCCCAAUCUAUGCCAGCUUCCUCCGUCACCACUGGUUCCUCAGCAUCCAUUUUCACCUUAACACCCUCUCCCAAAUCCUCACAUAAAUCUUCUUCAGAAGAUUCCUCAUCAAUCUCCCUGAUUCUCUUUCUAUAUAAAUCUUCCAAAGAGCCUUCCUCACGAGGAUUCUUCCUUCCUCUCCUGAUCUCACCAUUAUUACUCAUAACCUCAGAAGACUCAUUCACAACACUAGAAUAACAAUGAUGAUGUGUAGUAGGGCUGCCAUAGGGUUUUUUUGUUUUUGCAGAAAAUCAGAGGGCGCAAUCUCCACCUCUCUCUAUUUUUUUUUUUAAAAAAACUUCUCGACAUAAGGACCAUAGGGAUAUUUUAAGUGACAAAACAUAUGCCUUUCAACAGAGGGCUUGAGACCUUGGGAACAUUAACUAGCUUAGAAUCCAAAUGUGCCUUUCACACUUUAUCCAUCCCUAUUUUGGGCUCCGCUAACAUACACUUGAGGUAUGUUUUGGGGUCUUAUUUAGACCAGGCCUGCACAAGUACUCCACCCAGCAAAACUAACCCCCAUGCCAUUAUACAGUUUCAUUCGUGGGUGAUUCAUGGCUGCAGAGAUAAAGCAAUUUUAAAUGAGAUUUAUCUUUUUUGAAACACCCUGAAUAUAUGGCAAUUCACUAGAGCUCAGUAGACAUACUCUUUGUGUGACUGCCUGAUGUUGUGAAAAAUGGGGGUGAUUGUCAAACCAGCAAACUCCAUACAUCUGACUUUUUUGACUUGGUUGGAGACAAGUUAUACUUGUUUGCUUUAGGUCAGUGGUUCUCAACCUGUGGGUCCCCAGAUGUUUUGGCCCUCAACUCCCAGAAAUCAUAACAGCUGGUAAACUGGCUGGGAUUUCUGGGAGUUGUAGGCCAAAACACCUGGGGACCCACAGGUUGAGAACCACUGCUUUAGAUUCUCUUCCACCAUUUAAUCAUGACCCAGCCUUGUAAAGCAUAGGCUGUUAACUGAAUAAAAUACAAUGGAUAAAGAUUGCAUAAACAUUGACACCUGGAUUCGUAAUAAUGAAAAAAGGGCCAGCAUGGUGUAAUAGCUUGAAUGCUGGAUUAGAACUUUCCCUGAAAUGCAGAGAUGAAUCAGGGUACAACUCAGCAGCAGUGAAUUGCCUGAGAAUGCCAUAUUUCAAAAUCCACUGACUCUUCCACCUGCAUCAUGUCUUGAGACAUGAUGGGAACAUAUCGGCCUAAAUCCAGUGACUAAUCACAUGUAGAUUAUUGGAUGUAUAUAAUUGAGGAGUCACUAUUAAGCAAUUGAUUUAUUAAGCCUGUUCUAGUUGGAAUUAGCAGUUAGAUUUAGGAGCAAAGACAGUUAAGAUCAAAACAUUUUUGAUGUGCUAUUUUUCCUUUUCCCUCCCAUCCCAAAAUAAAGAGUACUUUCCCCAUUCCAACCAGGCUUCCUCUGUACAUCUUCAUUGAAGCUUUGUAUUAAUAAUGUAUUCAUGGAGUAUCUGUGAUCACCUUUUUAAAAACACAUUUUACAUUUUAUUUCAUACCCUGCAACAAAUGAAAUCCUAGUAUUCUUGCCAGGCAAGUGUUUUUUUAAAAGAAAAUUCCUCUUUUGUUAGAUAAAAGCCAUGAAUAAUCUUGUUUAUAUAUUAAACUUCCAUUUUAUUGUAUUUAUUCUUUACUUUCUCCUUUGUUAAUACUCUUCAGUAUUAUCACAUUAUUUGUGUUUUUAAGUCUUCAAAGUACCUAUUGUAAACAAUUGUGCUUUUGUCCUUCCUGCUAGGAAAGGGUGAAAGACUGAUACUCCUUUUAAGCAUUAUUGGCAGUUUUGCUUCCUCCUUUGUGGAAAUGAUUGCCCACAUAAGUUAUCUUUCAGACCUCUGUCUCAACUGGUUUUCAUCGUCUUUAUUUCUUGUGUGAAGUUGUUAAGAAGUGAUUUUGAAAUACCUGUUUUCCCGUUUGUGGCACUUCGCACCUUGUUACUACAAUGGAAGAUGGUUAUUGCACAUAUCUUGGGACUGAGCAGUUUGAAGGUACUCUAUGAGGAAUUUUUAGAUCAAUGGCAGCAUUCUGUUCCAUUAAUACAGAACCUGAAUUAAACAUACUGUUGUCCCACUCCUGGUUUUAUAUCAGGUAUCAUGAUUAUCUUAUGAAAAUGUGUGGACUGUCUUUGGGACCUGUAUGUAAACUCACAGGAUGUGCCAAUGUGGCACACAGUGGUCAUAAUCUCAUCCGGUGUGUGCCUAAUCGAAGGCAUCCAGGCACCUUAUAAAGAACAAGACAGACUGGGAAUGACUGUGCUAGAACUUGUCUCACAGGCUAUUUCUGAACCAGACCUGGAACCCAACAGAAACAGAUGGUUUCUUAAUAAUGGGUUUGUGAUGUAUAUUUAUAGCCCACCUUUCUUUUAGGGAGCUCAGGAUCAUGAAAUGGAUGUCUUCCUUCCCAUUUUAUCCUCACAACAACCCUGUGCAGUAGAUCAGUUCAAGAAAGAGGGACUGGUGCAAGAGAGCUCCAUCACUGUGGACUAGAAACUUGACUCCUGAGUCCAGCACUCUAAACCACACACUAUAUUAGGGUUUAAGUGUGGCUUUUCACUACAGGGAGCUACACAUCCCUGGUUCUCCACUGUUUCCCAGUUUUAUUUUUGAACUCAAUCCUCAAAGAGAGCACUGAAAUCAAGAAUGAAUCUUUAUCAGAAGAUUUGAUGCUGGUCUAAAGUCUCAGCACUAAAAUUUCUCACAGCAAUACUACUUCUUUUGUUGUUCAAAAAAAUCCUUUUGUGUAUUUGGGAUGUUAUAAGGUUCCAGUCUUGAGCCUCAUUACUGCCACAUACAAGUAAUUUUCCCUGUUGCCUUGAAAAUCAGGCAUGUGUCUAUAUAAACAGAGUCUCAGACACUGUUUCAGUAUAUGGUGUUGAACAAGAUGGCUUUUAAAGAUCUUUUUAAAUAUCUCUGCCCUUAUUUUUAACAUCAGUAACUAGUAAUGUGUGAAAGUUAGUGUUGAAAGAAAACAUGUCAAACCAACGAAGACUUCGCAUAUCUGUCUCUUACCUCCAUAUUGAUUGAUUACAGUGGUAACAGUCUGAUACAUAGGCAAAUCUAAUUUUGUUACAACAGCUCAACGUUAAAUGAGAGUGUUUUUAUUGGUAAACGUUUAGCUUCACGUAUGGCUUGGCUCACAAGUGCAUAGAUUAAAUAGUUGUCAGUUAUAAUACAAAGUUUCAUAUUGAAAUCCACAACUAUGUAGUGAACAUGACAAAGGGACCAGACAGGAUACUAGGUCCUUCUGUGGAAGGUACAUUACUUUUUCCUUUAAAUUCAGAUAGAAACUACAGAAAGGGAGGCAUCAGUAUUUGGAUACCUUAUGUGCAAAAGGAACUUUAUAAUUUCCUUCCCUAACAAAACCCACCAGCAGAACUUUCCAAUUUUGAAGCUACCAGCAGUUGUGGAAAAGCAAAACAAGUUUUGAUGCUGAUCUAUCCAUUUAGCAGAUGGAUAGAUAAAGCUACUAGAGACAGAGGUGGACAAGAUACAAUUUUCUAGAUGUUGUCAGAUUGGAAUUUCUGUCAGCCAGCAUAACCGAUUCUGAGAAAUGUUAGGAGUUGAAAUCUGACACCAUCUUGAGAGUUUGUGUUCACCCCUGCACUAGAAUAAAGUUCUCCCAGAGCUAACUGGAGCAGUUAACUGGUUUUGUUUGAGCCGCAUAACUUGAUUUGAGCAUAUUAACAGAAUACACAUUGAGGCCGAAAUGUGAUGUCACCGAUCGUACUACUAAAAACAGCUAAACGUGCAUGAACUGUCGCUGCCCCCAGUUCCUUCAAGGUCAAGCCAGUCACUUCAAGGAACCAUCCAUCCAUCUUGCCCUUGGUAGUCCUCUCUUCCUUUUUCCUUACAUUUUCCCCAGCAUCAUGAUCUUUUCCAGGCUUUCCUGUCUUCUCAUUAUAGUGGCCAAAGUACUUCAUCUUUGCCUCUAAUAUCCUUCCCUCCAGUGAGCAGCUGGGCAUUAUUUCCUGGAGUAUGGACUGGUUGGAUCUUCUUGCGGUCCAAGACACUCUCAGAAUUUUUCUCCAACACCACAGUUCAAAAGCAUCUAUCUUCCUUCGCUCAACCUUCCUUAUGGUCCAGCUCUCGCAUCCAUAGGUUACUAUGGGGAAUACCAUUGCUUUGACUAUGCGGACCUUUGUUGCCAGUGUGAUGUCUCUGCUCUUCACUAUUUUAUUGAGGUUGGCCAUUGCUGUCCUCCUAAGAAGUAAACAUCUUCUGAUUUCCUGGCUGCAGUCUGCAUCUUCAGUGAUCUUCGCUCCUAGAAAUAUGAAGUCUGUCACUUCCUCCACAUUUUCUUCCUCUAUUUGCCCGUUAUCAAUUAGUCAAUUCAUUACUGUUUCAUUAAACAUGAGGUACAUUUUCCUGCUAUUUCUGUAAACCUACUUCUUGAAACCUGUGUUGGGGAAACAUAAUCAUCUUGGAAGAAUUAGAUAAACCUGGAAAUAUCUCAUAAUCAUAAAUAGCAAGUGUUUUCUCCCUGUGGUCAACAGCUUUCCACUGCAAAACUCUGAAACCACUUGACCAAUUUGCACGGUGUCAUUCAUAAGCAGGUUAAUUCAACAGCAGCAAAGUUCCACUUCUGUGAAAUUUCAGUACCAUCUCCUCUUAUUUCUUUUUAUUGGUUCAUUAAUUUCCUAUCUAUAGAUGCCCAAGUUAGUUAACCGUAUAAAAUGGAAAAAUUACAGUAAAUAUAGGUUAGUCAAGCGGCAGAAUAAGUUAGACCAAGACAAUUUUCUUUUUUUAAAAAAGUUUUCUGAGACAAAAAUUUGAACUAGUAUGAAAAUGAAUUGAAGAUGGUACCAAGUUGAGCUCUUAUUGCAGAGGAGUUUAUACAUUUGUUACAACCAUGAAAGCCAGUCCUACUAUGAAGAUGAAUGUAGCACAGAUUCUGCAUUCAUGCAUUCAACCACCCACAGCUUGAACAUUUUAAAAAUAAAUAAAUCCAGAACACAAACUUUAAUUUUGCCAAUUUACAUAAGGUACACUAUUUUACUGCAUCAUUGUAUACAAUGGGACAAAUAUCUACAGAUUUUGGCACCCACUGGAGGGAAGCUAGAACUAAACCCUAGCUGCUUGCAGAUAGGGCCAAACAUAUAUAAAAGGCUCGCUAUACUUGCCCUUCCUACCAUCUUAGGAAGCAGCUGAUGCUUCUCUUCCCCAGUACUCUAGAAAGGGAAAGUGCAUGAAGAGUUUUAUCUUUCCUCAGUUGAGACUUCUCUUUCUUUUUGACUGCAGACAGUCUCUUCUUGCAUCCCUCCUUGACAAUGUCCAUAGUUUCAGUUCAAAGUUCUUCUGACUCCCGUUGUAUUAGGCAUAAUAGAAUAAAUCUAUUUUUGUAUUACUUUUAAAUUCUAUAGGGAUGAUCUUUGGAUUGGAUCAGACUUUGGCACAAUGACUGGUUUAGUAUUCCUCUUUACCUUGACUCUAAUUUUUUAUACUAACAGUUCAUGUUCUUUCCUUAAUCUGCUCCCUGUGUUGUUUUAAAGAGAAAAUAGAGCUUCUCCAUUUGCUGCUCCCGAUUGUGUUGUUUUUCUGAUUUCUAUAUUAGCCAUCAGGUGAUGGCCAUGCAAGUAGUCAAUCUCUUGGGUUGCUUGAAGGAUGUGUUUGUGUUAACAAACCAUUUACCUUGCAAAAUCCAGUCAAACUUCAUUGCUUGAUCUUAGGCCAGAUUUUCAUACAGUUUUUGAUACUGUUGUUUCCUACUUUUUCUUUCCUAUCACUUGGGAUUAAUUGUGUGUCAUCCAUUUUAUGUGUGAUCAGUUUUCUUAACUAGAGCUUGGUUUCAGAAGUUAGUUAACUGUGGCACUGGUUAAUGCUGCAGUUAACAGUUAAGUUGUACAAACUUUCCACUCUAGAAGAGAGUGAAUUGGGAUUCUGGGCAUGUGGUAGAUUGGUGGUGUCACCCAAUCCUUCACAAUAAUCUAGUAUUUAUGAUAGAGGAAGGCAACAUCUGGGAUGAGGGAAUCACAUUACUGUAUAUCCUCUAGAACUGCCCAAGUGCCACUCUCUAUUUUACUUUACUGUUGCUGUGCUAUCUUUUUCCGGAAAUUUAGAAAUCAGUGCCAAAGUGUCUGCAGCUGCUUUGGCUCCCCACAAGUCAUCCGGGUAGUAGAGCCCUGCCAGAAUUCAAAGCAGAAAGUCUAUACUCGUUUUUAAAUCUUUAGAUGGGGAACCAUUGGGAGAAAGGUAUCAUGAUCUUUGCAGCACUAGUAAAGAGGAGGCAGUGGGGUAAAUGUGGCCUGAAUAGCCCACUCGCAUCUCACACGUAUAGAAUUAGAAUAUAGCUAAAAGAGAGUAUUUGAGCAAAAAGUGGCCAAUCUGGAAUAUGCUUUGAAUAUUUGUGUUGAAAGAUUCUUGGUGAUGCAGGGGGUUGCCAAUGCUUGCCUUUAGAUGUCCUUGUGCUUUAAGAGUAGUCACCCAAGGCACAGAGAUAAUACAAUUUGCAUGCUCCUUACUUUGCAUUGUUAGAGGCAAAAAGCUCUCUCUGCAGGACAGGGGUUAACAUGUUAACAUGUGGGUCAAAAAUAAAUUUCCAGACAGCUUUACAGGCCUCUUGUUGUUUGUGAGCUGAUCUGGAAGCAGUUGGCAAGUGUAAACCAGUUAAAGUGUUGAAAAGGAUUUGCUGAUGUUUUUUCUGGAAUGUUUUACGGAAGGCAGAAAUCUGAAGGAACAGAGAGGCAAGUGUUACAUUUUUUGUGGCCCAAUAGUUCAUGAUCUCUGAAAAGUGAAUGGAGGUAAUCACAGAUGCAGAAUGCCAAAGUGAGUCUACUGUAAAUUACUUUACUACUAUUAAAAAUCUAGUGAACCAUAUGAACAGUAGAAACCAUAUUGUGAACAACGUGAACCAUAUUAUAACUUGAGAAAUAAGAAACAUAUAGAAAAACGUUUCAAAUACGGAUACCAAAAAGUGAACACGAACAUACACAUUUAAUAAUUACAAUAUUCAAACAAGUCAUUCUUUUAAAUAUGGAGGUCAUUGUAAAAUAGCUUAUGUGACUUUUUAUUAAGAAAUAUUGUUUCAAGUACCAGCUCUUAUUAGUAGAUAGUUAUAGGAUGUGCAAUCUAUCAUGAUUCAGUGAUAAUUGUUACACAGAUCUUGCUUCAUCUUCUGAAUGUUGGGGGGGGGGGAUGCAUCAUAGAUAACACUACCUGAUCUCAAGCUGUGUGUCUAUCAAAUAAACUUUUCAAAGAUAAAGGAGUUUCUACUAUGUUUGGGUCAAUUAGAUGUGCAAUUUCAUUUUUCUAUAUUAACUUUUAAUCAGGAUCAGCAUCAUCCUGUUCUUUUAGUGAAACUCUCACAAUUAAUUUUAAUUUCUAGCAGGCAUAAUGUCUUUUUAUUAUAUAGGGGUGGAAAGAAUAUUCUCUGUUAUUUUUUUGAGGCUAAAAAUGGUUUCCCAAUAAUCCUUUCAGGAAGAAUAACAGAGCAGUGAGACUGUUCUGCAUUUUCUCCAGUCUUGGAGUGUUUUGGAGGAAUUUUGACAUCUUUCUUUCUUUUUGCAGAAAGAAAGGAAACAGUGUUUGUGUAGGGAGUGUUUGUUUUCUGUGCAGGAAAUUUGCUUUUGCUCAAGAAAAAUAUUCACCCAAACAUUUCACAUUUCUCUGUACAAAAAUUAUUUUCAGCACACUCGGUGAUGCUCAAAUAAGAAGAGUGAGUAUACUCUGAGAAAUAUUCAUUUUUCUCCUGCAGUGGUGAGAAAACCCACAGCAAUAAUAAAUACUUUUUAUCCUACAGCAGAAUAUCUGGGAUAUGAACUUGUACAGAAAAGGGGAAAUACUAAUGCCCUUUUGGGGUCAGUAAACUCCCCAAAUGAUCAUAUGAGCUCUUUAAAAAUGUUCUGUCAGGUUUCCUCCAUCUCUUAGUUGCAUUCAACUGGGAAAGGAGAGUUGUGAUAUAAACCAUUCUGUUUGGUGAUAUGCCUCACAGUAUCACUCAGCAAACUGCAACAAGAUCCUAACUGCAUUGCAGAACAUUCCCCCAGGAGAACAAGAUGACUGUGUGCACCUGUGGAUGGAAACCAAAUGCAAUUUAAUUAAAAUCCUGCAUAAAAGUAAUAAUAAAGAAGAGAGUGAUAGCAGUUUGAAGAGGCGUGGGGAUGGUUGUGAAGUCUCGGAAAUUGUAAAGAAAGGAAGGAAAGACAGACCAGAAUAGCGUUGUAGGGUGAAAUAUGUUACUGUGGCAACAAAGUAAUUUCUGCAGAUGGAAAACUGCAGUGAAGAGCCUCAGCAGUAGGGAUAGAAAGCUGAAAUGAGUGAUAAAGGAAAUAGCAGGUUAUUGCAUUCUUAAUUGUUUACCUUCUUUGGCGGUCCCACCCACCCACUCCAGGAAUGAGUGUCUGAACUCAGAGCACCCAGAUACAUGAAGUGCUUGAAUAGAGGUUUAGUUGAUGAAGACGUAAUGGCAAAAUAUAGCCAGCACGAUCCAAUAUAACAGAAAGCUAAAAACAGUCCUAAAGUCCAUUAACAUUACUAUUCAGAAGCUUGACUCCACUAGCAUUCAGCUGCCAACCCAAGGGAACAUAAUUCAGAAAGCUUAGUGGAGAGAGGACAUUUUCACAUUUGAUGGCCUAAAUACCCUUAAAGCACUAAAUCCCAUCUGAACUUGGAAGCUGAGCAAGAUCAGCCCUGAUGAAUACUUGGAUGGGACACUAAUUAAUACCAACUUCUGUAGGUUAUAGGUCAGAGCAACGAACCAGCCAAGCCAUCUCUGAGUAUUCAUUGCCUAUGGAAACCCCAUGAAAUCCCUUAAGUUGUUAUAAGUCAACAUGUGGCUCAAAAGCACCUACAAAGUCAUGCAUUAUCAUCUCAUUGAAUUAUACGAAGUUGGUCAGAUUGUAUUUUGACCUUGUUUUUUUAUGUCUAAAGCCAACAUGUUUAUUCACUGCAACAUACUAACACUUCAGCUUAGAUUCAGACUUAGUCUUACUUAUUAUUUAUAAAUAAUACUUAAUUCACAAGGGCUCCUGGGGCAAUGAACAAAUAAAACCAAUUCAAACACUAUAAAGAUUAAAAAAACACAUUGAAAAUAUUAUUUUAAAACUCAGUCUUUUACAAAAAGCCUAGAAACCAGUUUUGAAAGAGUUAAAACAAUAAUUUCACACUUUAAAUGUCAUGUGGAGCAGCACUGUUUUGGCUGCCUGCCGGAAGCUUUAAAAAAUGGGGCCAGCCUAGUCUUAGAGUAAAUCCACUGAAAUCAGCAGAGCUUUUGUUAAAAAUAAAUAAUUUCAGUCUUAGUGAUUUUUAUGGGUUUGCUCUAAGUAGAAUCAAGUCGAGAUCCAGCCCUAUGGACUGGUUACACACACAUGUAAUUGUCUCCUGCUGUUUCAGCCAUAAGCCAGAACUAGUUAAGUUGAAAAACAGUAUGCUUGAGAUGACUUUGGGUGAUAUGGAAAUCCAGAAAGUCCAAAAGCCAGUAUGUGCUUGUCUAAUCUUGAUUACUUAUUUAAUUGCCAUCACUUUUGACAUGGCCUCUGAUGGAAAUAAAAAAAAUGGAUUGACUUAAUCCUUGGUGUGGUAGUCCUGUUAAUAUUGGUCACUACUGUGUGCUAGCUUUUGGAAAGGAUGUGGGUUUUUUCCUUUGAUGAACCAGCUUCUAUCCACAGAAGUGAGAUAGGACAUUCCUCCUGAAGCCCCAUAACUUCUCUGGAGGGCUGGGGAUCCCACUGGAAGAGGAUCCAGGGAAAGGGAAGAAGGAGAACAAAGUUCCAUCUUACUAUUCAGGACUCAAUAUUAGUAUUACUUCAAUAUAAUUUAUAAUAUUUAUUUAUUCAAUUUAUAUGCCACUUUUCUCACCCCUGGGGGGGGGGGGACUCAAAGCUGUUCAUAACAUAAUCAAUGGCAAAACUCAAUUCCUCACAUGUAUAAAACAUCACAUAUCAAAUUGACAACAUAUAUUAAUAGAUUAAAACCAUUAAAACUAUAAAACUAUAACAACAAUCACAGACCCAGCAUAAAACUUUUAGACCUUGCAUCGAUCCCUGAGUAUCUUUAGCUAUGGGAUAAGGCAGCCAGCUAUAUGUGACCUGUAAAAGCUAGGGACUUUCAUGUUGGUAAAGCUGUAAAUCUACUCUGGGUUUUUGUCUGUGCUGAAACCUAUCUCCUGGUCCUUUAGACAGCUCUUUCUAAAUUCAGACUGAAACAUGGAACAUACCCAUACCCCCUUGACAUAGGAGGCAUCAGCUUCCAAUGCAAGUGUCAUGGAGGAAAUACACAUUGAGGUGUAGGUGGCAUUUCUUUGUCCUUUACUGACAAUAUAAUCAUGCCCACAGGUAUUUUUUUACCAAAAUGAAUUGGAUCAAGGCUUGUGUGCAUUGUUAUUUUAACUGAGAUGUCUCAAGAUGCAUGCUUCCAAUUUUAAAGUUAAAAAUAUGUUAUCUAAAAUUGUGCAUUUUCAUAUAUUUUCUCUCAAAAAGACAAAGUUUAAACAUUUGGAAUAUGUUUCAUGCAUUAAGGACUUGGGAAAGGCAAAAACUGGUGGAUUAACUUUGGUUCCAUUCCAAAUGGUCGCUAACUUAAAGUGAUUAUGAUCUAGAAGGUGCAGAUUGGGGAAUUCAUUCCAGAAUCUGCAGAAGCUGAAUUUCUCAAGCAAUCUUAUUUCAAAACAAAUAUGACUAAUUGAAAUCCAAUAGACUUGAGCAGGUCUAACUACUUUAAUAAAGCAGCCUUCCCAAAUCAAGUUCUCUGACUACAGUUCCUAUCAGCCCCAGCUAGUAUGGCUAGUUUUGGGAUGGUGGGAGUUUAAAUCAAGUAAUGAAUGCAUCUGAAUGAACAGGUUGAAGAAGACUAUAUUUAUUAGUGACCAUUGUCCAUAAUAUAAAGGGGGCCUUCACAUUCAGAGGAAAUACACCUCAGAAUCUCAAAUGCUGGGUACAAAUAUGAAAGAGCUAUUGCACCCAUGUUUUGCUUAUCAGGUUUGCAGAAGCAUCUUUCUAGCCAGUGCUAGAAAUAUAACACAGCCCAACAAAAUAAAUCUUGUUAUCUUGGUUUUUAAGCUUGUUCCUGGGAUUAUUUGGAGCACUGAUUCAGAAAAGCUCUAUUUUCUUAGAUAUGGCUAUUAUGGUUUUCUGUGGGUGAACAGAUGGCACCUGGUAGAUGGUCCCAAGAACUAGAUCUGAACAGAGAAAAUGUGUGCCAUUUUUGGAAUCAGCAGGUCAGAUAUACCCAGAAACAGGGCUAACGUCUGAGGCACCAAAUGUGUGUUGGCCAGUGUAAUUUAUGACUAAAUUUGCUGUGAUCUGGUUCAGUAAGAUCCUCUCACGACAUUGAACAAAAUAUAUCAUAACAUCGGUUGCUACUGCUAUGUUUGCCUUCCAUACACACACACUUGGAUCAGUGUUGUUUCGGGUGAAAAUUGGGAAGAGAAUACUACAAUUCCAAAUACUCUAAUUUUGGCUAUGGAGCUUUCUCGACUCUAGAUUUUAUAUGUUACUUCCCAUGGAACUGAUAAUGAGCAGCUGCAUAUUAUAUUACCUAUUCCAGAGGACAGCUUUCAAGCUCAUCUUCAAACUUCUUAUUCAUCCCACAAAGAUCCCACAUAUGAUCCUUUCGCCUACACUGGGUCAUCAGUCUCCAGUUGGGCUAUGGACUUAAGGAGUAAGAAACAUAAAAGCAGGUUGUUAUACUGAAAGCAGAUUUACAGAUCAGAUCAAGUGGAACCACUGUAAAAGAUAAAAUGCAGUCCCUUCAAGGGGAAAGGUGAUGUGAAAUGUGCCUCUUAAUUGUAACCCAUGGCACUUGCUCCUGUGUAGCGCUUGGGGAAAAGGGUGCCCUCUUCACAGGGACUGUGUUCAACUGUUAAUUACAACAAAGCAGUCUUUGAAGAUUAUGGGUAUACUCAGAGGGGCAAGCUAAUGUAAUAUUCAUCUUGACAUCUUCUUAAGCUGCAGCCCUUUCUUAUCAAUAUGAUUUAUCUUCUACUAGCAUGUAACCCACUUUGUAUAAGAAGAGCAAUAAGUGGGGGAGUAGCUGCUUUAGAUGCCAAGUCUAAACUCCCCCUUAAAAAGAAAUACAUUUUAGUUGUGCAUGUGUAUGUAUGCAUAUGAUCUAUUCACACCUCUAAAAAAACAAUUUUGAGCAAUGAGAUACAUUAAUAGUACUGUACGAACAUCAACUACUUCAUUAUGAGGCUUUUAAAUCUGAAAUAUUAUCUCAGUGGUUUUCAGUGUCAUAAAUGCUUUGUCCAGUUUCUAUUCCCAUCACAUCAUUUUAUUAAUUUUCAAGAAAAACACACACACAUGAUCAAAAUUUGGGACAUUUAACUAUAAUUAGUUUGCAGACAUUUAAUUCAAAAUGUUGUCUAGUCCUGCAUUUUCUUCCACGGUAGAACACAAAAAGAAGGUCUAAAAUGGGAUUGCAAGUUAGAUUAUCUAGAUCCAUUUCAAUCUGUCUUCAAGACAGCUUAUGAGAUAGGGAUAGCUUUGAUCGCCUUGGUGGAUUACUUGUGCAGUGAACUGGAUGGGGGGAGUGUGUCCUUGUCGGGUCUGCUGGAUCUUUAAGUGACUUUCAGUACCAUCAACUAUGGUAUCUUUCUGGACCACUUCUCUAGGAUAGGAUUGGGGCUCUGUUAUGCAAUGGUUUCAGUCUUUUUUGAAUGGAUAACCCAGGAAUGGGUGCUGGGUAACUCUUGUUGAUUUGAGACUCCUGGUAGGGUCUCUCAUGAUUCUGUUUUGUCUCCCAUUCUGUUCAACAUCUACAUGAAAUUGCUAGAUGAGAUCAUCAGAGUUUGGGAGUAUGGUGUCACCAAUAUUCUGGUGAUAUCCAACUAUCUCUCCCUGCCAUCCAAUUCCAAAGAAGCUCUCUCGGUAAUAAUAGAGUCCAUUAUUGUCAGUAAUGGAUUCUAUGAGGACAAAAAUAUUGGAAGCUAUUUCAGACAAGACAGAAGUGUUCCUAGUCAGCCGAAAGCCAGAUCAAGGAAUAGAGACUUACCCUCUGCUAGAUGAGGUUAUACAUCCCUCGGAACCUCAGACUGAGUUUUCUCUUGGAUUGAACUCUGAGCCUGGAUGUGCAGGUUUCAGCAGUGGCCAGGAGUGCAUGAAAUUAGUGUGCCAGUUAAUAAAACUUUAAUAAAACUUUAUUUAUACCCUGCCACCAUCUCCCUGCUGGGACUCGGGGCAGCUUACAUGGGGCAACGGCCCAAACAACAUAAGGACAAAAUAUAAACAACUUAGUACAAAUCACAAUAUAAAAAGAUAAAACAGUAAUAUAAUAUAUCAAUUAAAACAACAAUACAGGAUAAAAAAUUACAUUUAAAGCACAUAAAUGGUAAGACCGUGAUAAUACAGGAUAGAUUAUUAAAAACCCUCUGGGGCUGAUUAAUGGGACAGACCCUCUGGGACUGUAUCUCCAAACUUGUGCCUAUUCCUUGAGAUGCCAUAUCUGCUCAUGGUGACAGAUGCUUUGAUUACGUCCUGUUAGAACUACUGUAAUAAACUAUAUGUGGGGCUGCUUUUGGAAAGUUUUUGGUAACUUCAGUAGAUUCAAAAUGGUGCAGCGCAAAUGCUCACUGGAGUCAGUAAUAGGGAGCAUUUAACUCCCUUGUUAAAAUGGCUUUGUUUGCUACUAGUACAUUUCUGGACAUAAUUCUAAGUUAUAGUCAUGAUAUAUUAAAACACUGUGCAACUUGGGUCCAUAUUAUCUGAGGGACCGUAUUUCCCAAUACAAACCUGCCAGUGCAUUAAAAUGUUCAGGGGAAGGAUUCUCUUGGUCCUGCCGCCGCCACAGACUCAUUUGGCGGAGAUAUGAGAAAAAGCUUUCUCAACGUCUGCUCCCACUCUCUAGAAUGUCUUUCCAUAUGAGGCUAGCCUGCCUUCCUCCCUGCUUUUUGACAGCAACCAAAGUCAUUUUGUUUAAGUAAGCUUUUAAUAUAAGGAGGGAGAUCUUAUAUAGAAACCUUUUUAAUUGUUUUUAGAUUGUGUUGAUAUUUUUUAAAUUAAUGUUUUUGGAAGCAACCUUGGGCUCUACUCUGGAGAAAAAGUAGCAUAUAAAGAAAAUACAAAAUAAAUAUAGAAAUAGUAAAUAAUUCCCAACAUAUAUCCAGAUGAAACUUAAUUUCUUAACAUAACAACCCUAGAAUGUUGAUUUUAAUUCAACAUAAUGCAAGUCCUAUGCAAUUUCUUUUAAAAACCAGGGUCUCUGUGUGUGAUGUAUAGAGCUAUAUAUAUCUAUAUAUAGCUAUAAAAAUGAAUAGGUGCAAGAAAAGGGCAACCAGAAUGAUUAAGAUAUUUGAACAAUUCUUUUGUCAGGAAAGGUUACAGUAUCUGGGAAUAUUUAACUUUAAAAAUUGAAUAAGGAAUGAGGUAGAAAAGAUUGUGUAUGAUAAUAGAAGGACAUUUGUUCUCAUUUGUAGUGCUGGCACUCAGGGCAUCUGCUGCUGGGCAAUUCAAGACAGACAAAAGGAAACACCCUUUCACUUAGUUAAUCUAUGGAGCUCAUGUCAUAGCAUCUUGCCAUCUUGGGCUGCUUUAAAAAGAGAUUAGAUACAUUUUGAGUGAUUAAGGCAACCGAUGCCCAGGAGCCAUAAUUGAUAUGUAUUCUCUCCUGUAUCAGAGACAGUAUGCCUCUAUAUAUUAAGUACUGACAGAGUCAGAAUAGGUGGUGCAGUUUCACUCAUUCAUCCUAAUGUGCUCCCCAUACACAACUAGCUGGCUGUUGUGGAAACAAUGCUAGAUAAGGUGGGACUUCAGCAUGGCUAUUUUUAGCUUCUCAUAUUUUUAAUCAGUAAAGUAUUACAUUGUUUCCUCGAAAAUAAGACAUCCCCUGAAAAUAAGACCUAGUAGAGGUUUUGCUGAAUUGCUAAAUAUAAGGCCUCCCCUGAAAGUAAGACCUGGCAAAAUUUUUGUUUGGAAGCACACCUGCUGAACAGAACACCAGAGCAUGCAGGAUCGGUAAAUGUACGUACCAUAGAUAGUUUUACAUGGCAAUAAUGAUAGUAACAAGAAAUUCUUGAAAGGAUUCACAGUUUGUCUGGUUCUGCUGGUUUGUGAUGACAGCUACUGUACAGUAUAUAAUAAAUGUUCAUUUUUUAUUCAACAAUAAAUAUGAAUUCUUCAUGGAAAACUAAGUAUCCCCUGAAAAUAAGACCUAGUGCAUCUUUGGGAGCAAAAAUUAAUAUAUUUUCAGGGAAACACGGUAGUUGGGAGACUGAUUUCUCUGGACCUGUGAAGGCAGCAUUCUCAGUGGAAUGUGAGUUUUAAAAAACAUUGAAUGCUACUCUUGUUUUUCCAUCUAAAGGCAGCCAUAGUGUGACAUACUAAUUUUCCACUGUUGAUGCCCAGUUAUUAACUGCUGAAGUUUGAACAUGUCCUCACCCAUUCUAAGGGCUUGGGCCAGGCUUCCCAUGAGCCUCCAGCUCUGAUCAUUACAGUAGCUAUAUGGUUCUGUAAGCCUAUCCAUAUAUCAAAGUUGGAAAAAGAUAAAAUUUUCUGAGCAAGGAUGUUUGCAGUGAACUCAGUGGCCUGGCAUUACAUUUAGUUGUAAUCAAAGAUAUUGGGAUGUCAUCCUGUUCUAAUCUCUCAUCUCAUCCAGUCUGGUAGGUUCUGUGCUGAGGGUGAGAUGAAUGGGGUUGUUGUAUGUCUUUCGGGUUGUGUGGCCAUGUUCCAGAAGCAUUCUCUCCUGACGCUUCUGGAACAUGGCCACACAACCCGAAAGACAUACAACAACCCUGUGAUCCCGGCCAUGAAAGCCUUCGACAACACGGUGAGAUGAAUAUUUAUUUAUCAAAUAAUUAGUGAAUCAUUUUGCAGUUACGUUACCUGGGGAACCCUUGUUAGUUGGAAGAUGAAAAGAAAUGCCUCAAACAAAGAAACACAGAUAACUUUCCUUACCCCCUCCAGUGGCCACUGCCAUAUAUAAAGGGAUAGAGAACCCAAAGUAUGAUGUAUGGUGUUAUGUCAUGACAAUGUGAAGCUCCUGCACCUGUUCCACAUCACCACUGUCACUUGAAUAGGUGACAUUUUCAACAUGUUGGUGUCAUGACAUGUGGCAAAUUCCAAGACAACAUUUUUGUUGACAUCAUUGUGCCUUCUGUGCUAUGUAGUCCUCAUUUUGAUUGAAAUUAAAUUGGAACAGCUUUAGUGCAUUUAGUUUGCAAAUCUUUCCUUGCUUUUAUAAAAAAUUAUACCUCAAAAUUAUGACUGUGUGGAGACAUACAACAAGCCCACUGUCAGAGUCCUACCCAGAGAGUCUCUUGUAACAGCCAAGCACACAAAUGUCAGCCAGCCAAACAACUUUCUAGGCUCUAGAGCUGGUGAGAUGGCGUGCAUGCCCACAGAAAGGGAUCUGUGUGUCCCUACCUGGCAUGCGUGCCGUAGUUCCACCACCAUUGCUCUAUGUUAACCUUUUUCAUUAAUUUCCCCUGAGGAAGCAGUCUCAUGAUUAUCAUAAUUCUUUCAAAAUACCCCAGGAAGAUGCAUGGGAUACACAAUGGGCUUAUACAAGAGUCCCUGGGUCUUUCCCUUUUUUUUUUUUUUAAUAUGAUCUGGUUUAUUCCUGGGAACAUUUCCUUCCCUUUGUUACCAAAUCAGACCCCCUCCUGAGGUUCUUCUGUUGACAUGUCCAACACAUUGAGCACCCUUUUUGUUUACCCGAAUGGCACCUAUUAUAUUAAUAUAACCCAGUUCAUCUCAUUAUUUCCCACCCCACCUCAUUCCUUUCUGCUCACAGCCCUAUCCUGGGUGGAUCAAUAAAUGGACACGAGUCUUCAAAAUAAUCCAAUGAUAGUUUAUUAAAUUUUUCACCACAACUGGAACCAACCAGCAAUGAUGUCAGACAGAGCCCCAGACUAACCAAGGAGUGGCUCCUGCCUAGCAAUCAGAAGCCAGCAUGGUAAUCUUGAAUAGUUCUCAAAGUGUUAUCAAUAUUUCUGUAUGAUUGCAUUGAGGAAUGCCAAUUCUUUGGAGCUCAGAUUCCACUGACAUAUUCUUUUCUCUCCGAUUUUGCUUUCAACCUGUGUGUGUGUUUCAUCUGGCCUUUUGGAAGCUUGACACCCUGAGCAUUAAAUGAAUGGUUUUAGCCCGAAAUCACACAACAUUGCUACUGAUGUGGAGAUUGAUUGUAAUGUCUAUCCUUUACCAGGCAUCUAUUGGCAUUACAGUUACGGUGCUAUUAUUCAAUUUCAAAUGCCAUGGUUCCAUUCUAUGGAGUCUGGAGUUCAUAUUUCAGUAAGGCCUUGGAACCCUUUGGCUAGUUGUCCUGAAUGCUCUUCCCUAUACUGCAAAUCCCAGGAUUCCCUUGGAUGGAACCAUAGCAGUUAAAUGGACAGUGCUAUCAUUUUGUUGUAUGUAUAGGCCCAGGCUAGAAAAUGGUCAUCCUAUCACUAAUUUAUUUAAGCAAGAUGUUCUGAUAUUAAUAAUAAAUUUGAAUCAUUUGUCAUUAUUUAUAAAAUGGAUUUUUCAUUACUAUACUUUGCAUUUUUUUUAAAAAAAAAAUCCUUGGUUGCACAUUUGUACUGUGAAAACUGAACAUUUUUAAUCUUGUUUUUCCCCUUCAAUCUUCAAUGCUGUUUUUUUUUUUGCAGUAUUAAAAACUCAGUGAACUCAAAAGACUUUUGUGGUAUUAAAAUUAAGAAAAAGGGAGCUCUGAGAGGUUGGGCAAAGAGACAAGUUAUGGCAACUGAGACCAGUUUAGGUGGAAUUGCAACUAGUUUGUCCAUGUUGAGUGAAACCAUGGCGUGUACAAAUUGGGGGCAAUAUCUGACCAUGAAUGUGUGUGGUCUUUCUCUAAUUAAUGCCAAAAUCUUUAGGAGAGUCAUGCAGAAUAACCUUUCCCUAGUUAACCGUCACAGAAGAAAGGAAUGGAAGAAACCAUUAUGCUGCUGUCAAGAUUUUCCUGAAACAAAGAGGGGCAGAAUUAUGCAUGCUGAGGGGUGUCUUGGGUGCUUUGAUUAGCAGCAGAGGCCCAAUUUUGCCAUCAAAGGCAUUGUUAAUUAUAAGCCACGCUGAAAGGCUCUUGUCAGGAACGUUGCAGAGAACGAUAUUACAAGAAAGUGUCGUUUUCUGUUAAGGUGAUCCUCAGCUAUUGUUAGACUGAGAAAUCAAAAUGUGGACAUCAUUUCAAGGUAAACCCAAAAUGCUGUUGUAUUUAAUCAGGAUAAUUAGUCACUGAGAUAAAAAUAAUCCAUAUUUUAUAUUGAUUUGUUUGUGUCAGUUUUAACGUGAUCCGACAGAUUUCCCCUUUGCUGCAAAUGGUUGAAAAAUGGAGAGACUCUGAACAAGUGUUCCUCUUAACAGCUGGCGGCUGUUAACAAGAUGUCGUAAAAGUUCCUCUUUAAAUAAGAGAUCAGCCUUCAUUAUUCCAUAUCUUUGAUGAUUAAAGGGAUUUUUAUUGAAAUUACUACACCAAAAAGCACACAAAAGAAGAUGGAAAUGCUAAUUUGCAAUCUGCCUACUGACCAAGCAUCAUGUGGUAAUGAACUGUGACAGCCUGUAGUUUGCAAGUGGCCUCAGCCUCUUGGAGUAGCUAAUCUGAAGUGACAAAUAAUGUACCACUAUGUGCAUUUUAAAAAGGAUGCUCUUGUAAAAUCAUGUUUUGUUUUGCUGUUUUGUUAUUUUGCUUUUUGGAAUGGUGAUUAGAUUGUAGAAAAACAACAUGCUUUUUAUCUGCAGUAGGAGAUAUAAAAGCCAAAGAUGUAUAUGGGGAUUACUAGAUGGGACCUUUGAUCAUAUAUAUUCACCAUGUUGGUUUCUCUUCUCCAUCUGUUAACCAAAAUUUAGAAAAUCCUUUUCCAAAACAACACAACAAGCCACAGCGCAUAGUUUGAAAAGUUCACUUUCCUCUAUUUUCACACUUAUCAGGGAACAACCUGGAUUGUCAGUGUUACUAAAACUAAAAUAAAUGACUUAAACUUUGUCAAGAUUAUGUCCAGCUAAAUCCAGGCUAUAUGGAUGUAACACAAGCUGGCAAGACUUAGCCAUAUCUAAGACAAAUCAAAAGCUUGGAGAAAAAGCUAAUUAGAAGAGCAAGACAAGGGCAGGGUAAAAAAAAAAAAAAGAAGGAGGUGGUGGUGGAGGAGGAGGAAAACAGAAUCAGAGCUGGGGGAAAUUACUUUGGAGGGCCAGAAUACCCAGAACUUCCCAACCAUCAUGGGACACCUUAAGAGUAGAAGACAGUAAUAGAAGAGAACAGCAAAGACUGGCCUCAUAGGCUAGUGUUUUGUACUAUUGAUUAGAACGAGUAUCACCAAAUACUCAUUCUAAAUAGGAUGGUAUGCCAGAUGCGGGAUGUUCUACAAUUAUGAAGCAGUAGCAGGAAGUACUUUAAUAGGGGGUAUUUCCUUUAGCAGGAAGUACUUUAAUACCAUUCCGUAAAACCUUUAAAGGUUAGAUUAUGGAGGAAAAGGAGGAAGAAGGAAGAGAAGUCAUGCUUUCAGUCCACCCAACUCCUGAUGUUGCUAAGCUGAGCAGAUUAUAAUAUGACAUAGAUGCCUUUCAACCAGCCUAUCUGCUCCAUCAGUAAAGAGCUAGAAGAGAAAAGGUUGCUAUGGUCAAUUUUUCUGCUACUUAUACUAAUUGUUAAUUUUCUGAAAUUAGGUGGCAUAAAGCAGUAGAGAAACAGCUUUUUUGAUCUGUUUUCUUGAACUAGUGUAGAGGAAAUUAUCUAAAUCUUGCUAUGCUAGAUGCAUGGUAGGGAACCACUCACUCAAAGCAUCCAUCUUGACCAGUGUAAGUAGAUAAGUAUGUAAAUAUGGAGGAAGAUCAAAUCCCAUUUAGGAAUGAUCACUCUGUUAGUUGUACAGUUGGAAGUGACUGUUUUCUAUUGUUGCACUCUUACUUGAGAAUAUUGAAUAUCAGAGUCAAAAUGCAUAGGAUUUCACUGAAAAGUUUGCAAGCUGUUUACAGCUGUUGAUUUAUGUAGUGAAGUAGUUAUGAAUAAAUGUAUUAGAUGUUUUUCACCAUGCCUCUGCUCAGAUUCUUUGCUAUAAAAAUAUUACACUUCCAUAAAACAAGAUUAAAAAAAUUAAGACCCACUGUCAGGGUCCUAUGCUCUUUUAGUAUAUCAUUCAUACACACACACACACACACACACACACACACACAUAUAUAUAUAUUGAAUCCCUUGGCUGUGAGCUGAUCCAUUUCUCAAAGGUCCAGUAAUAAUGCCACCGACUCAUACUAAGUCUAAAGUAUGAGAGGGUAGGGGUCUGCAUUUGCAAAACCUCUGAGAAAGUACAGUAAUUUAGUAGCCACUUUUACACUAACCAUUUUUACAUUAGUAUAGUACCCCAAUUGUAUUCCUGGCUGUAUUAAGAACUAUGAUUAGUAAAGAAUUAGUAAUAAAGAAAUCACAGAAAGCUACUUCUUGCAGAUUUGUAGUUCUUAGUGUUGCAUUCUGAAUCAGAUGUUGGAAAAUGGGCAAUUCUGAUAAGGUUGUGUUUUGAGAACUUUCUUUAAUGCGUGACAAAAUGCUCGGUUCAAGUUUCCAUGAUGAUUGAGGUCAACUAAAUGGAGAAGAAAAGUACAUUCUGACUAAACAGAAGUAAAAUUAAAUUUAUAGAUAUACAUUUUAAAAUGAUGUACUUUGUAUUUCUACUCAUCAAGAAUGUUUUAAAAACUCACUUUACCAAACAUUUUGGAAUAAAAAAGAUCAAUUUAGGUUUUAAGAGAACUCAUCACAAGGCAUGAAAACUACAUAGGUUACAGUGCAUAGUAGGUAGGGAGCCCUAGACCAGGAGUGUGAAAGUACCAUCCUUGUAAGCCAUGUUGGUAUUUUUUAAGGCAGCGGUGUGGUUUAAAAAUAAUUUUGACAUGUUCACUUCUAGAUUACUACUUGAUUGAAGUUGGGGAAGCAUCACAUUACCAACUCGUUAUGUCCUGUUGCAUUAGAAAGCAAAUAGUAUCAUUUCUCAUUUUUCAUCACACAUUGCUGUUUCUGGUCCUGUGAUCUGAAAUUAUCAACUUUGAGAUUUAUCACACAAGCAAGUGCAGUUCCCACUCACUCCCUUUUUAAUUAAAAAAAACCUUUGUGAACUUCAAAAUUGCAAAAGAAAAGUCAGUUAAAGUGCAAUUUGAAAAUGUCACAAUCAAGCAUAAGCAAAGUAGGGAUCUCCUGAAGUAGCUAAAUUUCUAAUGAAUACAUAUUUUUUUUAAAAAAACAAAACCAAGGCAAGGAGUAGGUGACUGGAUUUUGGGAGACUACUGGGGCAUCACUGUUUCAUAGGGCACCACCCAUAGGAACAGCUAUUCCCCCAUGUCAUUAAAUUGAAUCAAUUUGACAGAUCCCAUCCCACAUUUUUUUUUUGGCAUUUUCAGCAGUUUGAUAGCAAUUCCAGAGCUCAGGAGAUGAAUUCUGCCCAUCUUAUUUAUUUAUUUGUAUUUAUUACAUCACUUCUACCCUGCCCUUCUCACCCAUCAGGGGACUCAGGGCGGCUUACAAUAUAAACAUACACAAAAAACCCCAGUUUUCAUCAAAUUUAAAAAUCCAUCAAGAUUAAAAAUUACAAUAAAAUUAAGAAUAUACAUUAAAAAUAUACAUAAUUAUAUAUUUAAAUCUUCUCUUCUUCCCUGUUUUUUAAUACUUUCUUAACACUUCACUAACAGACGCAAGGGGGAAGCCUCCCAGUGUCAUGUGAUGGUCUCAGUUUAGCUUCAUUUUUCAACUGUUUUCGAAGUGUUAAGAAAGGGGUGUGUGUGAGUAGGAUAACAUCCUAGGUUAAAUUGUGGAUUUCUUAGUGAAAAAACAUUUAACAGUUUAAAAGAAAAAAGAAAAAAGAACAGAAUGUAUAGGAGUUGAGUUUUCCAAGAUCCUACAGGAAGCAGAAACCGCCCCUGCCAAAGUCUAGGUGUUGCCCAUAGUUUCCUGCUUAAUCCACAAUGUUAAGAUAUUGGUUGGGAACAUUAGUUUCUUAAGAAAGGCUGCCACUGCAUGUUGAACCUUGAAGGUGAAAGUGAUAUAAUGUUUGUAUUGUCUGAUCAGAAUCUAUCAAUGGCUCUUUUCCCACUGAAGGCAUGGAGUCCCUAUCAUAUUUGACUCUUUAUGUGAGUUCAGCAGUUUCAUGAGCAUUGCAUAUUUUUUAUUACAUACAGUAGAGUCUCACUUAUCCUACAUAAAUGGGCAGGCAGAACGUUGGAUAAGCAAAUAUGUUGGAUAAUAAGGAGGGAUUAAGGAAAAGCCUUUUAAACAUCAAAUUAGGUUAUGAUUUUACAAAUUAAGCACAAAACAUAGUGUUAUACAACAAAUUCGACAGAAAAAGUAGUUCAAUACGCAGUAAUGCUAUGUAGUAAUUACAGUAUUUACAAAUUUAGCACCAAAAUAUCACAAUGUAUUGAAAGCAUUGACUACAAAAUCAUUGACUACUAUAAGGCAGACUGCGUUGGAUAAUCCAGAACGUUGGAUACAUGAAUGUUGGAUAAGUGAGACUCUACUGUAUUUAUACCUUCCACUUUCUCAUAUAAGAAAAUGGCAGGCUAUUGAUAAAAGGUAAAUAUAGAGACAGUAUUUUUGAAAAGUAUUCUCUACAUUUUUCCUCAGGGAAAUAAUAUUUUUGCUAUCUUUUAUUUGUUUUCUUUUAAAAAUUAUUAACAAAUAACAUUUCCAAUAUAGGAAAUAACGUAUGAGGUAGAGCUACAAAAAUCAAUUAGAAAUUAAACUAAAAUACUAAACUGAGCUGAAAUAUAACCAUAAUAAUAAUAAUAAUAAUAAUAAUAAUAAUAAUAAUAAUAAUAAUCCUUAUUUAUACCCUGCCACCAUCUCCCCAACGGGGACUCGGGGCGGCUUACAUGGGGCCAUGCCCAGAACAAUACAAUAUAACAAAAUAUAAUAGAACAACAAAUCAUAACACAUUAAACAACACAAUAAAAGAAAAUAUACACUACAUUAAACAAGAUCAAAAGAACAAUAAAACCAAGGGUGGGCCACAUGAACACUAGGUUAAAAUUCGGGGUGAGAAAGGAAGUAGGAGUAAAAACCACAGAGGACAGGGUCAUAAAGUGACGGUGCAAUCUGGAGGACAAUAUUGAAGGAGAGCAGCAAAAGGGAUGUAUGUAGUGAUUACUCUCCAAAAGCACAACGGAAAAGCCAUGUUUUCAGGUCUUUCUUAAAGGCUGCUAAUGUGGGGGCUUGCCUAAUCUCACCGGGAAGUGGGUUCCACAAUCGGGGGGCCACAGCAGAGAAGGCCCUCUCCCUUGUUCCCACAAAGUGGGCCUGAGAUAUCGGCAGUGGCGACAGGAGAGCCUCCCCUGACGAUCGAAGGGAUCGGGCAGGUUUAUGAUAGGAGAUACGGUCAUGAAGGUAGGUGGGUUCCAAUAGCAAUAACCAAGAAAAACUGGGAAGACAAGUGACUAACAAGUGACAAUGACUUUCCAGCUAGUAGUUAUAGGUACUAAGAUAUCUUACUUUCUCUGUAAUGAUGGUAGCUAAACUUUUACGUAUUGUUUAAUCCUGUGGUUCUUCAAAUCCUAUUACUAGUAAUUUCCCCAAUCACAAAAGCUAACCUAUAUAAAUAUUUUACUAGCCUAGUAUAUGUCAGAGGAGUCUCUCAAAGUAAUAAUAAGUUCAAUACUUUUAAGAUACUCAUACAAUUCUCUUGUUGCUAUAGUUGCUGCAGUUUAUCUAAUCCAGUGCCUUCUAUUAUUACUAAGUUUUCUUGCUAAAUAAAAAAAGAAAAAAAUCACUAGCUAACAGAGUAAUCUCUCUUAUGAUUUCAUCUUCCCAAUUUCAUAAAUCAGAUAUUAUUUCAAAAUUUCAAAAUUCCUAAAAAUCACAAAAGCCUUAUUAAUUACUCUAAAAUCACUAUUCUGUGCUUGUCUUCUGCGUAUUAUAUUUAUGUCUCUCAUAAGUUUUUCUCCCAAAUUACAAUUUUAACACUUACAGUUUUUCAGAGCUGGCAUCUUCACAAUAUCCCAUUUUUCUUUCCAUAUCCUCUAUUUAAAAACCUGCUCAUUGUCCUCAUAUUGCAUGUGUUUUCAGUUCCUCCUCUCUGAUUACACCACAAAAGGAAGCUUUGUUCUCCUUAAUAUCCCUGACUCUUCCUUCUUCCAGUUGAGUGACUUGAUUUCUGUACCAACCAUUUCUAACAGAAUGGCUUAGCAAAGUUGAAGGUCUUCCCAAUUUCAUUGUUUGUUUCAAUUUCUCCAAGAAGAACAUUGCUUUCUACUGCUGCUUCUGACUCAUUGAUCUUCCCUCUGUUCUGCAACGACCAAAAUUGUGGUCAUCUGGAUUUGUAAUUGCAUUGGCUACUUUAAUAUUGUCUCAAACUCCUUCUUUAGAUUAUCUUGGGUGCCAGUUUUCAGAUUUCUCUUCACAUCAGUGCUGCUCAUCUGAUUAAUAUACAUUCUCAAAAACUCCAGUAUUUCAAAAAUGCCUUACUUUUGAUUCAUCAGUAUGGCUGGUUGUCCCACAGGUACACUUCCACCUAUAUACAUUGUGGCAGCUGUCAAAGUACUUUCAAAAAUCAGGCAAUAGACAGAUGCUUGUUGCUGUAGUUUGUCUUCUGUUUAAUGUAUUGCUAGCAUCAAACUCAUGGUUUACCUAGCCAGAAGGUGUAAUGAAAAUCAGAUUAGGUUCACCUCCUUUUCCCACUCGGCCAGCUACAACCUUGAGCUUAUCAACAUAUAGAUAAACAAAGCUUGUUCUUUGCAAUCUUAAACAUUAAUAAUUCUUACAGUUUACUUGAGAUACAAAGUCUCCAAUGCUUCAACAUAAUCAUUAAUUUUCCAAAUUAAAUUACUUUAAAAAUGUAAUUGUGCUUUUUUCCUCAGUAAUUUACUUGCUUUUAUACUUGUAGAAGUGUUGGUACUGGAAGUGUAGGGAAGAAAGUUGAAUGAACAGUGCUAAUGCCAUCUUUAGUGGCUAAAUGCAUCUUGGUUUGAUUACUCUUCCUGCUCCCUUCUGUUCCACACUUAGUUCUGAGGACCAGGAAUGGGAAUCGGACUCUUGAGAGCAGUCCUCUAAGCCUCUUUUGCCAGGGAGACAAUUUCUGACAGCUGUAAACUUGAAAAUCUCUCGCCUCUCCCCUAGAGAAGUUGCUAAAGGAAGAGGCAACAGGACACGAUUUCAACCCAAAAGUCCCAUUGUCAUCUUCUUCAGCUCGCAUAUGAAUCACUGAAAUCAGUGAUAUUCCCAUUUUUAUUAUCUUCAAGAGGAGUCCCCACUUGUGAGAAUACUGUGUCUAUUUUCCAUCUUGGUAAAUCCUUGGAGUAAAUAAUCGAGAAGGGCCUAUUUUAAUUCCAACAUCUUUAAAAAAUACUGGUCCAUAGUAAAUAUAGCAGGGUGUUCAAUAUAUCGUGUAUCUAAUUAAAUUAAUAAGUUAUUGUUACAUCUUCCUUUCUCCAAUUAUGGUAGAACUAGGCUACAUUAGGAUUAUAGUUUUCAGAGACAUUAACUUCAUCCUUUGCAGUAAAACUACAGUGUUAUCUUUUGAUAUUUUAUGCCUUGUCACUGGCAGUUGGCUUUGUUAAAAUAUUGUUUUGGUGAUAUUUUGCUUUCAAGAAGCUACACUUUUUUCCAUUGAAACAUGGAUAUGAUACAUCCACGGAUUAAACUUUAUUUUGACAUUUUGUUGAAUGAAUUUUUAAAAAAACAAUCAAACUGAAAUACAAACACUGUCCAGAGAAGGUAAGGGUUCCAGCUUGCCAGUUCUUGAGAUUGCAUCAUCAAAAUUAUGAAAAGUCUCCAAAAUGUCCUUCAGUUUUUUAAUUUACAUAUAUUGAAAAUUCCAGGUGUUCUCAUAAAUGGCAAAGGAAACUGUCAGUUUGUACAAUAUUUUGUUCUGCCUUUUCAGUAGAUGUUUUUUUUUUUUUUUAAAAAAAGAAGAAACUUCCAAGGCUUAGAUACAACUGAAAUCUGAUUGAUUUAUUAUUUCUUUGCUGGCAGGGCAUUAUUUGCAGGGCAAAAUAAAUCGCUACCGUUGGAAAUUUGUGCUAAGACUUACAGUGAGUAGCUGUGUGAAUGUUUAUUGUUUCUCUAUGUUAUCUCCCAUAAUAGAAUCACUGCCAAGCUUUUAAAACUUUAAUGAAUUUAGCAUUAUAUCCUUCUGUUUCAGAGAAUUGUAGCAUCAACUUAACACACACAAAAAGAAUCAUGUAAAUUAUAAAUAAUAAAAUAAUUAACAUGUAUUAAAUAUUUUAUUAUUUAUAAUUUACAUGAUUCUAAAUGCAUGUGCAUUUGGUUUUUUGUUAAACUAGGCUGCACAGUCUGAUUUGCUGCUCUAAAUCCUUGAUCCACCACUAUGGCAAAAUAAAGCAAUAAUAGCAAAACCAACCAUCAUUUCACAAUUGCAUAAAACUUCCACAUUAAAAUUGUGCAUUUUCCGAAAAGACUCCAUAUCCCACUCAAGAAAAGGUGGAUGCGUAAAUUGAUUGAUCUGAUUUACACUUCACAUUAUUAAAUCAACAUCAGUUGCUUUAGUGGGGAAGCAUAGAUGUGUUAUGAUCCCACUGCUCUGCACACUGGUAAACAAAAAAAUUAUGUCUUGCACACUCUGGGAGUGAUCAAACUAAAUGUGGUCUAACAAAACAUUCUUCGCUUCCAAUUGUUAACAACUCCUUUCUUUCCAUUCCCAGCAAGAAAAAUAAGGGAAGUUUUCACAAAUGGGGCCAACCUAAGAUAUUUUUUUGCUUGAGGAAUUAUGCCCUCUUUGUUCAAGGUACACAGAACCCUUCAACUUGUACAAUGUUGAGUUUAAAGCGAUAUAUUACAUCAAAAAGUAUUAACACUAUUGUUAUUAUUUUUUUAAAUUACACUAAUAACAAUAAAUAACAAACUUUUAUUUAUACCCCACCACCAUUUCCCAUAGGGACUCGGGGCGGCUUACAAAUAACACACAAUAGUGCCACACAACAUAUAAAAUGCAGUAUAUCAACAUUAAAACCCAUAUACAUUUAAAACCAGAACAUAUAAAAUUAGCAAGAGCCAUAGAGUCAGUAAGUAUGGCAAAAUAUUGAUUAAAAGAUCCAUGCAAUCAAUUUAGCCUUCCCUGGCAAAAGAUAGUAGGCUGGCUGCUAUUGUAAAGGUUAUCAAAAGCCUGUUGAAAUACUCAAGUUUUUAGCUCUUUCCGAAAGUGCUGUAGUGUGGGGGCUUGCCCUCGUCCUCACCAAUUGCACUUGAGACGGAGGUGGGACCGAGAGGAGAGCCUCCCCAGCAGAUCUUGGAGCCCGCACCAGUUCAUAGGGUGAGAUGCGACCAUGAAGAUAGGCUGGACCUAAACCAUGUCCAUUACUAACUCCUUCCUUCCUCUCUUUUUCUUUUUUUUUUAGUUUUCUUUCUCUGUCACCCCAAUUCUGCCUUCUUGUUUUCUGUCUUAUGUGCUCCCCUUCAGCAGUAUUCCCAGUAUAGUAUUCCCAGUGAAUACUAUAAAACUUGAGUAAGCAUAUAUCAGAUUGCCACAGUGGUAGGCUUUUUAUUUAUUUAUUUAUUUAUUUAUUUAUUUAUUCAUUCAUUCAUUCAUUCAUUCAUUCAUACACAGACGCCCAAACAUUUUAAUACACCAUGCAUUAACCAAAUCUCCUUCCCCCAAAGACAUUCAUUCCUUGUUCCCUAAACUGGCUAUUUGGACCAGUGGGUUACUGCUUGGCUUCGUCAGUGGCCAGACAAAUGGUUCUCAACCUGUGGGUCCCCAGGUGUUUUGGCCUACAACUCCCAGAAAUCUCAGCCAGUUUACCAGCUGUGUAGAUUUCUGGGAGUUGAAGGCCAAAACACAUGGGGACUCACAGGUUGAGAACCACCAGGCUAGACAAAUGGGAAAGGAGUUGCUAUCACUAGCAUGUUGUCUCUACUUGUCUUCUCUUGGCAGGCUGUACCCACCAGUGUAGAAGCAAUUACUUUUUUGCAGCUAUCACUCUAGUCAUUACACAGAUGUGGCACCAUCCCAUAUUGCUGCUCUGCUAGUGGACCAGUCAGUUAGUUCUUUGGGUGACAAACAAGCUAGCAAACAUCUCAUUCAGCCCUCCCCACACCAUCUACUAGUGCUGUGGUACAAGGUGGAAAGAUAAGAUGUGUGAUUGCCAGUUUGACCAGAAAGGCAGCUGCAUAGGCAGGCCUCAUACAACAGGUGCUUCAUGAUAUAUUUCUUUGGGGGGGGGGGGGUGGAGGAAGAUGCAACAGGCUGCAGAAGCCAUGCUGUCAUGCUAUAGAAUAUUUCACCCUACUAGUAUAACAGUAGGUUUCACAGAGGGUCAAAACAACCUUGCUUAUCAGCUUCUAAACAUCAUGCUUCAGUUCAGCAGGUUAGAUACACAUUUCACAUAACUGUACAUUGUACAACGUAUGUUCAACCUACCAAAAUUUAUCUUUUAUUUUUGGGAAAUGAACAUAUGUUUUAUUGUAGAUGUAUUACCUUUUCACCUAAGUGCUACAUUUCCAGAGCACAGAUUUAAUCUUCUCCAUAACUUCUUAUAUUUGUCCUAGCAAUAGAGUGGAUGCCAAGCUCAUUUUAAAAAGCUUCAGCUGAUAUCCACAGACAGUUAUAAAAUUUAUUCCUAGUAUUUAUUAAAUUCUAGUUGAAUUUUCUAGAGGAAUAAAUUUGAAGGAGUUGUGUUUACAGCUGUACAGGGGAGCCUAAUAAAUCAAUAUAGUGAGUCAUUAAUUGUAACUCAGUGUUUUUUUCAAGUAAUUUAAAUUGUACACUGCAAUAUUGAUUAUUUAAGUUAUUCUGUCAGAAAGUGAUGUUGUUUAAGGAGUUGUUUGAAAAAUGGACUACCUGCAUAUUUUAUGUUGCAAAUUCUAAGAAACAUUAUGCUGUGCUCCCCGGGGAGGGGGGGGAUUUUACUUAGGCUUUAUAAAGAAAUAAAUGUUUAAAUAAAAGUAGUGCUCGUGAAGGAGAUUCAUUCUAAUUUAAAAACGGACAUGACUGUGUUACAAAGAAAUGAUGUGACGGUGAUGCUGAGACUGUUCUUCAAACAACAACAACAUAAAUACAGUUGAUAAGCUUCAAUCUUCCACCUGAGCUGGCAGAUAAGAAAUCACUGCAUUGGCUGUAUAUCUGAUUUACAUACCAAAUGUGGGGUGAGAAGGUGGAGUGAGAUUUGAGGAACACAUACAGUGCAGUAUCUGAAAUCUUUCUGAGCAAGCUGUCAGUGGUACUCACUCAACCUCAAAGGAAGCCAAAGGCGAGUACCCUCUGAACAAAUCCUGGGAAGAAAACCUGGGUUAGGUUCACCUUAGCCUUACCAUGACAGAAAUACAGCAAUGACACAGGAACAAAUUGUUCAUACUGGCUCGAAUGACUAUGAGAUAUUUAAGACACUUAAACCUGGGAAACGUUUCAUCUGAGUCAGACUUUUCCCGUAGCAAAAGUUUCCAUUCCUGAGCCAACAUGCUAUGGAGCUCCUAUACUGACCCCUCCUUGUCUUCUAUCACCAUCCAGAAUGGACCACUUUUCUCCCACCCACUGCACAUUUCCUCACCUUUUUUUUGUCUGUCAUCCUUACCCAAAUAUAUGGCAAUGGGAUGAAAUUUGUGAUCCUUGUUUCCAAUUAUGCAGGUCACAAUGUAUGGAUUCUACCGCAAAAUGUGACUCUGAAAUGUGUUUUUGUAGUGCUAAAGAUUUAAUGGAGUAAAUGUCAGACCUGAUCAAAUCUCAGAUGUAAGGAGGGUUACCAAAAAUGGCAGUAUCAGAAUUUGGAUUACUGCUGUAUCCUGUUGCUAUCUAAUUUUUUAAAAAUAAAAAAUACAAUAAACUAUCCAGAUGUGCUUAAUUUAAACAGAGUAUGGAAUUUAGCCUUCCUUAGCAAAGAAUUAGGAUUGUCUUUUCAAUUACAGUGUUCCCUCACUGUCCUCUCCUCGCCUCUCAAGCACGUGCAUCCGUGCUCCCGCCGCCGUCGCCGCCUUGUGAAACAAAAACAAAGCUGCUUCAGCCUCCUUUUUUCGUGAGGCACGAAAAGCGAACUGCGAAGUAGCGAGGGAACACUGUAUAUAUUGUAAGCUACUAGGGCAACGAGGUUAUCAAAGUAGCUACACUCUGCUGAAAAAACACUGUUCUCACGUGUGCUCAUGGCCAAGUGGCAAUGGUUGCUUUCAUUGCUUUUUCACAGUGUUUGCUAGGAUGUGGGUUCCAGCUCCUGUCUGAGUAUACUAACCCUUGUACUAAGCCUGUGCAUGUAUUUACUGAAUAUAUAACUUGCGGGCAACUAUAUUGCUCUCUCCAUAUUCAUUCAGAACUUUUCCCUCUCAAGAAUGGAAUCUCACCAGGUGCAUAAACAAUAGUCCUUUAAAUGAUGAUGGAAAUCAUGCUCAGCCAAACAUGCGGUUAAACUGAUAGGGAGGCCAUAUGUUUCUCUGUAGAAAUUGAAAAUAGUGUGCAAUAAACCUGAUCAUCAGUGUUAUGGUAUUUAUGUUGAUUGAGUAUAUCAAGUGUCCCUAUGUCUUGAAAAAAACUGAGUAUAUUUUGGUGAUGUAAAAGGAACUGAAGUUAAACAUUCCUGCCUUCUUUGAAAGAGAACAUGUUUACUUGAUGGACCCUGUUCUUGCUUAUUUGCAAUUCAUGGUAGGUAUAAGAAAUAUGUGCUCAUCUGUUAGAGUGGUGGAGUGAAAACAUCCCAUGACCUUGAAAGAAGGGUUCUUGGUCCCUACAAGCAUAUUGCAAGAUCAGUAGAACUGUUAUGACCCAUUAAAUAUCUUAAAGUGUGUGGGAUGCCUGCACUGACAUUGUCAUAGAUGUAAAGGUCAAGCUAAAAUGUCAGUGGAGCUGUUUCUAUGAUAUUAUUUGUGACUCAUUUUAGCAAGUAUGAGGAGCAGUAGUGGCUUUAUUAUGUAAUCUGUGUUUGUAGGAAUGAACAUCUUAAGAAUAAAGAUCAGUUUCUAUUUUUUGGUAAUGCUAUUCCUUUUAGCUUGCUAGUAUAGACUGUCAUGCUUUUUCUCUCUAUGGGCAAUGGUAGUCUUACAGUCUCAUACAGAAUCCGUGGCAGUUCUCAGAAACAGUAUCAUUUAGCUGUCAGUCAAGAUUCUGUGGACUCUGAAAUACCAAUAGGAGUAUCUGAUAAUAAGGAAUGAAGGACUCCUGUUCUGAUUUCCUGGUUCAUUGUCUAAACCGGUCCUAAAACCAUAUUCGAAAUGAAUUUGUGCAUGGCUCAUAGACAUUUCAAGUUAUAUAAAGUUAAAAAAUAAUAGGGGAUUUAUUAUAUGACAUUUGGCUCUUAUGAGAAGCACAGUGAGCAAGCUGGUAAAAUAACAAAUUGGAUUACUAAAGCUAAAGCAACAUGACGACUACAAAUGGGUAUUUCCUUCAAUGGUCAGGAGAAAGUGACAGCAGUCAGAUGCAUUGCUGUCUGUAAUCCAAUUCAGAUGAAGUCUAAGGCCAACAUUAGCAUGCAUUUUAAUAAAGGGUUUUCUCACAACUUCUUGGCAUGAGUAGGGAUCAUCAUAUGGAAAAUGUUUUGAAGGUCUGAACCAGUUUAAUGUCUUAAGGAUUCAGGAAAUGUUGUGCCUAGCAGAGAUAUCUGGAUAGGUUGUUAUAUGCCAUUCAUGCUUCAGGGGCUGAAGGUGAUGUAUAUUGUGGUAUUCCAAUUUUACUUUAAAAAUGACCUGGUACAUGACAUUUUGCUCAAGCUUGCUACUGUGACUUUCCUAAGUUUGUAUCCAACGCUAUCUACUAAAACAUACUGGGUCUUGAUGCUAAAAGAUUAUGGCUUGACUUUAGUCUAGUUCAUGCUUGUUCCAUGGCUACCAGUAUGCUCACCAGUAAGACAUGUUUAUGUGGAGCCACAGGUCUGCUUAAAGAGUGACAGGUAUGGCAACUGCAAUGUGAUGGAUGUGCUAACUUGAAGAUCAUAUUUAUCACACGGAUCAUGCUAGCCAUGUGAACUAUCUGUGUAUGUUCUCUGGCCUCAAAUUUUUUCUUGAUCUCACAUGCUUCAGGAGACCACUGACUAAUACAAAUUUCCAAAGUUGUAACUGUAUUAGUAUAGUGUAGCAGAAAUGACUUAAGAGACCUGUGGCACCUUAAAGUGUUUGAUGAAGUGGGCAACAACCCACAAAAGCUUCAACAAAUAAAUAUUAAUGAACAAGGUAUCACAGGUUUGGGCUUAAACUGGCUUAUUGUGGUUGAUAAUAUUUAAAAGUCAUUUCAUCAUUCUAUUUCAGUUUGUGUUAUAAUGAUGAUGUACAUAACCCUGCAGAUUGUAUGACUUGUGUAGGCACUUUUGAUACUGCUGCAAAAAGCAUCUCUAUGGUAUCUGCAAAAUAGUUCCCAGGCCAGUUUUUUUCCCCAACUUUCCUCCCAAUUUCGUCUGCAGAAGUGAUCUUUCUGAAGGCUGAAUGUACACAUACUGUUUGGAAAGGAUGAAAAGAAAUUACUCAUCAUUCUGAACAGGCACUCAGCUCCUAGAAUUGACAAACACUGAGUCAUCACUUUUAUCUUCCCCUGGUUAAGCAUUUGCUGCUUCACCAAGUUUUCCAAAAGAAAAUGGUGUUAAGCAAAAGAGAUUAAUCAUGACUGGACUUAAACAAAACUGUCAUUAUAAAGAUUGUUUAGAUGGGGUGGGUGGUGGUGGUGGGGUUGCAGUAUUGUCUGGAAUGCUAUUUGGGUACUUCGUUUAAACUUAAAAUUUAUAUUUAUUUGCUGCAUUUAUAUCCCACCCUUCUCAUCCCGAGGGGGGCUCAGGGUGGUUCACAAAAUACACAAAAUACACAAAGCAAAAUUAAGAACCAUACCCCACUAUCCUGAAGAAAGGACCCCCCGAUGGCACAAUGGGUUAACCCUUGUGCCAACAGAACUGCUGAUGGACAGGUCAGGGGUUUGAAUCCUGGGAGAGCAGGUGAGCUCCCUAUGUCAGCUCCAGCUUCCCAUGCAAGGACAUGGUAAAACAUCCAGGCAUCCCCUGGGCAACGUACUUGCAGACAGCCAAUUCUUUCACACCAGAAGCGACUUGCAGAUUCUCAAGUCGCUCCUGACACGAAAAAAAAUCCUGAAGAAGUGAAAGCUGCAUAUUUGGUGUUUACCUAGCAAGGAUAAUCAGCUGUAUAUAUAGUUCAAAGGCCUGACUCUUUUUAGUUUCAAAGCAGGCCACCACAAGCCAUUGUGUCUUUGUGGCACUUGCAACCUCAUCAGAUGGUCCAAAUUUGUAUGUAAAGCAGUGUUUUUCUAACUUUGGUCCUCUAGAUCACUGUUUUUAAAAUUGUAGGUCCCAACCCCAAAUUGAGGUCAGAAACAAUUUGACAACAGUAAGAGGUUUCUGAACACCACCCAUUUAAACAAAAUGCAGUGUUUACAAUGGGCUCUGCAGAAGAUGCUUCAGCUGUACUUCAUGAAAAUGGCAAUCAGUCUAUUCUGCGAGCCUGGCAAAUGCUGAUUUAUGAUAAGUAAACGUAUGACAUGUAUACUUUUUAUUUACCUAUAUACUGUGGUCAUGUAAAUAUUUCUCAGGCCAAAAAGGGUCCAGAGUGGAAGAGGUUUAAGAAGCCCUGUUCUAGAUCUAUUAUUAUUAUUAUUAUUAUUAUUAUUAUUAUUAUUAUUAUUAUUAUUAUUAUUAAUCAUCAUCAUCAUCAAGAUUUCCAUUUUGCCUUUCUGUUUAAAAAAUCUAGCACCUUCCAUUCAAAAUCACUGUACUUUAGUAAUACUGAACAGCAACAGCAGGAAACUCACUAACAUCUGAAAUAAGAGUUCCAAAACUAAAAAAAACUAAAGUAGAACAAGAACAUAAAACAGUUCAAGGACUACAUUCAGCAAAAACAUGCUGAGCUAAAUGUGCUUUCACUUCAUGUUUAAAGCAUGAAGUGAUGGGACCAAGAAGGAUUCUUUUUGGAGGAUGUUGCACAUCUUAGGCACCAUGCUUAAAAAAUACCUGAUUUUGAGCACCUUGACAGAAGGGGAGCCUAAAGUAGAUGUUAUGGUUGAGCCUCAUGGCUCUACUAUUGGGAGACGUGGGCGUAAGACUCCUCGAGAGUCAGAUACUCUCGAGGAGCGAGAAAGGAAGCGGCUGCGAGAUAUCUUUGCAGAACCAUCUGACGAGGAUUCUUUUGAGGGGUUUACUGAGAGAAUGGAGGAAGAGAUGGUUAGCUCGGAAGAGGAUGACAUGGAAUGGACUCGUGUAAGGGAGGAUUUGGGUGCCACUGGCAAUGAUAGUAUGGAAGGCGAUUGGGGACCUUCAGGAUUAGACCCGUGGACAAGCUGGAGGGAUGGGACGGGAUCCACAGCUGGGGAUGCUGUGGGGCGUAGUCAAAGGUGUUCCAGUUCUGAUGAGGAAAGUGAUGAGGAAACGCCCGGGCUAAGGAGAACAGCUGAUAGCGAUGAGGACUUGUAACUGGCAUAAAAUGGGGUUUGGGAGCAAUAGCAAAUUGCGUUGGGCAAGGUAAUCUGGACGAACGCUUGGGAUCUGUGUGGGAAGUUUUCCUGAAGACGGGUGUGAUUCGUUUGCUGACUACGUAAGUUAUCCUGGACAUUGGGCUCAGACGGCGGGAGGAAUUGUGUGGGGUUUUGUUGUGCAACCUCUGCUUAAUCUUAAUAGCUUUGACCUUCCGUCGUCUUCUUGACGGACGCCAUCUGCUUACUCUGGACUUACGGACUGACUGACUACGGCCUCGGAUUCUCCUACCUGUGUCUAUCGUUGGAACUGGUGAACUACAAACGUCUGCAUCUGCCUUACGACCUUCGGAACGGAUUGGGACUUCGCUGACUGCUUCUGCCCUCGUCUGCUGUGUUUGUAUUGGGAAAUUGCCUGCUGUGUGGAGGAGUAACCUCUAAGUUACUCAAACAUAGCUCUUGGCAGCAGAGAAGCAUCUGCUGCCAAUUAGUUGCAUUCCUUUGAACUUUUUGUUCACCAGCUUCUGUUUGUUUAUUCCCAGGCUGAAGCAAGCUGUUUUGAUUUAACCCGGAUUAAACUCCGGUUUAAUCCGGUUUAUCUUUUGAACGUUUUUCUUGUCUCUUUUUACUUUUAAGGCCAGUGUUUGCCUAGCCCUUGUCUUUUACGGGCAUUUUUGGUUCUGUAACUCCAAUAAACUUUGUUAUCUUUUAU
Long non-coding RNA from Anolis carolinensis (green anole), 38603 nucleotides. RefSeq lists it as uncharacterized. NCBI's taxonomy places the organism in Eukaryota, Metazoa, Chordata, Lepidosauria, Squamata, Anolidae. The record is from RefSeq and is a predicted model, not a curated record. The transcript is spliced from 2 exons.